ACGUACACUCCUGCGGGAGGCAGCAGUGGGGAAUAUUGCACAAUGGGCGCAAGCCUGAUGCAGCCAUGCCGCGUGUAUGAAGAAGGCCUUCGGGUUGUAAAGUACUUUCAGCGGGGAGGAAGGCGAUAAGGUUAAUAACCUUGUCGAUUGACGUUACCCGCAGAAGAAGCACCGGCUAACUCCGUGCCAGCAGCCGCGGUAAUACGGAGGGUGCAAGCGUUAAUCGGAAUUACUGGGCGUAAAGCGCACGCAGGCGGUCUGUCAAGUCGGAUGUGAAAUCCCCGGGCUCAACCUGGGAACUGCAUUCGAAACUGGCAGGCUAGAGUCUUGUAGAGGGGGGUAGAAUUCCAGGUGUAGCGGUGAAAUGCGUAGAGAUCUGGAGGAAUACCGGUGGCGAAGGCGGCCCCCUGGACAAAGACUGACGCUCAGGUGCGAAAGCGUGGGGAGCAAACAUGAUUAGAAACCCCGGUAGUCCC
This 476-nucleotide ribosomal RNA is filed under the name uncultured organism. RNAcentral's name for it is "partial 16S ribosomal RNA". It matches the Rfam family "Bacterial small subunit ribosomal RNA", at positions 329 to 797 of the family's 1533-position model. The record is from RNAcentral.